UGUACUCCUCCACACUAAGAUUUUUUUGCUUGAAAUCAUGUAUUUUGAGAAAGAUCUCUUGUCUAUAAUUAUCAGGUAAAUAUUUUCUCUUUAGCUCCCUUUUCAUUUUCUCCCAUGUAACGAUCUUACUCUUCCCCUCACGUUCUCUUUGUUUCUUCAGAUUUUCCCACCAAAAAGAUGCAUUCCGCCUGAGUUUGAGUGCCACAAGUUUGACCUUCUUUUGUUCUGGUGGUUCAU
RNAcentral lists this long non-coding RNA (237 nucleotides) under Musa acuminata (dwarf banana). Its description in RNAcentral is "long non-coding RNA (MACU_LNC010750)". The record is from RNAcentral. Lineage: Eukaryota; Viridiplantae; Streptophyta; Magnoliopsida; Zingiberales; Musaceae.